Hemicordylus capensis (graceful crag lizard) is the source of this 1567-nucleotide long non-coding RNA. RefSeq lists it as uncharacterized. Lineage: Eukaryota; Metazoa; Chordata; Lepidosauria; Squamata; Cordylidae. The transcript is spliced from 4 exons. The record is from RefSeq and is a predicted model, not a curated record.
GGAAAGAAGAAGAGCUCUAUUUUCCAUAGAGGCGCGGACUUGUUUUUGCGGCUAUAGAGGGUGGGUUUAUGGUCGGACCGAAGGAGGCAGGUUAGAAGGAGUGGUAGAGCAUUCAUUUCAAGGGUUUCAGUCUGAAUAUUUAACUGCCACAAGCCAUAGAAAAUAGACCUGUCAAGAGGAACUGGAUCUUCGGACUAAAAUGCAACCUUCAAAACUGCAAUGGUUGCUGCAUUGUCUGAGCAGGAUCAAGGAUGCAAUAAGAAAGGAAGCAUGUGAAGACUCAAUUGUUCAAGACAACUUCGUUUCUUUCUUUUUUUACUGAUGGCAUUUGAUUUUAAAAACUAACAAUUUGCUACUGGCUGAUUGGUAGAGACAUUGAUUUGGUGAUGUUUAUGACAGUUUAUUUGCUUUAUUAUGUAUUGUAUAUACUGUAUUAUGGUUUUUGAAACUUCAGCCCCUCUUGGGUUUCCUUUUUUGUAAACUGAAAAAGUAAACUAUAAGCACAAGACAUGAGUUAGUAUAUACAUGUUUAGUCUAUAAGCAUUCCCAUGACAAAUGAGAGAAACCCAAAAUAAUAUGUCAGUGAUCUGAUCCAAUGGCUUUCCAUGGGAGCUGUUUUCUAUUACGUCAUUUAUUCUGAAUCGCAUGAAUUAUGCUUUCAAUAUGACUGGGAUGUCUGUAUCAGGGACAAAUCUUCUACAAAUUAUGACACUUCCUUACCUUGAUAAAAUUGUGAAGGAUGCAUGACUCACAUAUACUACAUAACCAUCUGGGUGACUUUCAAAAAUAUUAUGACAAAUAGGAGAUAAUUUCCUGAGUCAUGAAAAUGAGCUGACUAAAUCUUCAACACAUUUUGGAAGUGAAAAAUGACUCAAUCAGCAUAUUGGACCUUAGAGUGAAGAUAAAAACUUUCCAAGAGACCAAGUUCUCUUCUGUGCCAUUCCCAUUCAUUUUAGCAGACCUUGCCAGCUCAAGACACACUCAAAACAAUCCCAAUGCAUUCUGAGCAUAUUAUCAGUCAUCUGGUAAGAAUUAUUGCUAGUGUGACCAUAAUGUUUUCUGCACCUUUCAAAGCUUCUCUUUUCAACCUCCUUUAGGUUUAAGCAGCAUUUUUGUUAUGUCUAUUUUCUAGAACUUACUAGUGGUAAACUAAUAAUAGUAAUUUCUUCCAGUGAUAAAAUAGAAGAAAGAUCUGUAUGAAGUAUUGUUGACCUUCAAUAUUAUUGUUACUGACCUUAAGGAUAAAUCCCUGAAGAAUAAAUCAAGAUGAGAUGGAGAUGAAUAGCAGCUGGCUGAACGGCUUCUCCAGCAAGUGCCAAGGACAAAUAUCUUGAUUGUCCAAUGGAUCCAACCUCUGGCGGCAGCAGCAGCCUAUAGCCCAUAAACUUCCAUUGGGGUAUGAAUGGGCAGAACAAGCCCAAACUGUCUGGGUAAAAUCCUGUCAACUGGCAACUUCAUCUGCACAAGCAAUUUAUUUUAAUUCCAAUGUAUCAUUUACACAAAUCAAACUUAGUACAGCAAAUAAAGGCAGAAGCCAUUUUAGCACUAGCAUUGCUACUAACCUGAA